RNAcentral lists this ribosomal RNA (465 nucleotides) under Streptococcus gordonii. RNAcentral's name for it is "bacterial SSU rRNA". It matches the Rfam family "Bacterial small subunit ribosomal RNA", at positions 28 to 466 of the family's 1533-position model. Lineage: Bacteria; Bacillati; Bacillota; Bacilli; Lactobacillales; Streptococcaceae. The record is from RNAcentral.
GACCAACGCUGGCGGCGUGCCUAAUACAUGCAAGUAGAACGCACAGUUUAUACCGUAGCUUGCUACACCAUAGACUGUGAGUUGCGAACGGGUGAGUAACGCGUAGGUAACCUGCCUGGUAGCGGGGGAUAACUAUUGGAAACGAUAGCUAAUACCGCAUAAUAUUAAUUAUUGCAUGAUAAUUAAUUGAAAGGUGCAAUUGCACCACUACCAGAUGGACCUGCGUUGUAUUAGCUAGUAGGUGAGGUAACGGCUCACCUAGGCGACGAUACAUAGCCGACCUGAGAGGGUGAUCGGCCACACUGGGACUGAGACACGGCCCAGACUCCUACGGGAGGCAGCAGUAGGGAAUCUUCGGCAAUGGACGAAAGUCUGACCGAGCAACGCCGCGUGAGUGAAGAAGGUUUUCGGAUCGUAAAGCUCUGUUGUAAGAGAAGAAACGGGUGUGAGAGUGGAAAAGUUCAC